AUUUUUAGUUUUUCUUUUUGGUAUUUUUUGUUUCAAUGCAUGAUAUUUUGUGAGAUUAAUUGGAAAAAUUGUUAGCAAAUUAAGGAAUGAAUGUUGACGUUUAUAAUGCUGUAUUUGGCAAAGCGUAAUUCUACAUAUUUUAUUAAGCACAUUUAAAUGUGUUUUAGAAAUCAGUUAUAUUUUCUAUUUGAAUAAUCUAAUCCUAUAAAUAUAUCACUGUUAUU
This is a non-coding RNA of Biomphalaria pfeifferi, 224 nucleotides long. NCBI's taxonomy places the organism in Eukaryota, Metazoa, Mollusca, Gastropoda, Planorbidae. The record is from the annotation of a GenBank genome assembly.